UCGAGUACCAGUACUUUUAUGCAAUAUUAGCAUUGCACUCUAAGCAGUUGGCUAGUUACUGAGAUGUAAAUCCUCUAAUAUGAAGUAGCAUAUGCAUCAUACAAAGGCUAUAGCAGUUAAAGACUUGAACUGCAUUAGGAGAUCUGUUGCUACAAUUAGCUGAUGUAUGAAAGAAUAAAGUUAUAAUCAUGGAGCUUAGUUGUAAUUCACUCGCUAAUUCAGAGCCAUUACUUCAGGAUCCCCAGUAGCAUCCUCCAGCCUACUCUUAUAUGAUCAUUAACUGCAUUCCUAAUCUCUUCAACCAAAUUCUUCUGUUAUUCCUCUAUUGCGUUCUGCAACUCAUCAACCUAGGGAAGAAGUUUUAACAUCAGCAAAAGAUAUCCAAUUAUAUCAAUCGAAAUUUUCUCAAAUACAUAUAAAACAUUAAGCACAUAGACCAAAGUUUAACUACUUAUCUAUCUACAAAUAUGUUAAACUUUCACAUUCGAAAAAUUUUAAGGUAGGAUAUAUGUUUGAGAAUAAAUUCAGAUUACAAUCAGUCUCCUAAACAUAUGAAGAGAUCAGAUAGCUCAUGAGUGAUUAAAUAUUUUAUCAUAAAUUACUGCAUAAAGAUAGGAAAAAAGCUAGAAUUACCUAAAGGUUCAUAGAGAAAUAAGUCUUGAAAAAGGAAUUCCAGGUGUGAUAAAGCACAUUUCAUAUUUUGUAUGUCAACAGACUUUGUACAUUUUAUUUAGGGACAUAUUCAUUUUUCAUGAUUGGAAUCCAAUUCUUCGUCUUGGGACAUCACAUUCAAUCAUUUUUUCACGACUUAAGACAAUAUUGGAAUCCUUAGACUAAUCUUUAAUCUUUGCCGACCUAGCUAUUUUUUAUUCCUGUUUCAAGAAAAAGAAGAAAGAUACGAGAGGAAAACAAAGCAUGAAAAUUGAAAAAAAAAGGAAGAACACUUACAUUGAAAUUAAGAAAUAACAUUAAAAAAAAAACAAAGAAAGGAAUCAUUGUGCCAUUUCAAGUUUUCUAGCUAGAAGAUAUCACAAUUUUUUUUUGUGUGUGUGUAUGCUUAGCAAUCUAUUUGUAGAAGUGGUCAAUUAUAACAAUCAAAUUUCUGAUCAAACUGCACAUAUCCAAGAGAGGAGCAGUCUUGAGUGCAGAAUCAAACAUUAAAUUCA
RNAcentral lists this long non-coding RNA (1166 nucleotides) under Nicotiana tabacum (common tobacco). RNAcentral describes it as "long non-coding RNA (NTAB_LNC008754)". Lineage: Eukaryota; Viridiplantae; Streptophyta; Magnoliopsida; Solanales; Solanaceae. The record is from RNAcentral.